GUACACUUCUCUAUCAAAUAAUCAAUUUACACCGAUAAUCACAAUCAUUGCGGUCUCAAUAUAUAUGCAGCAACAAGCUACAAGGUCUCUUCCAACAAAUUUAUCACCCCUUCAAGUUUUGGAUCUAUAAAUGAACAGAUUUUAUGGCACUUUGCCAAGUAACUUUUCAAAGUACUAUGAUCUAUCAAGUGGUAAGAUUGUUUUUCUCUACUUAUUGGUUGGGCUUUGUUUUCUUCUUAGGCUUAUUUAUGCUUCUUUUCUUUUUUUACCUUUUAUGAUUUAAAGAAAAAUUUAUUCAAUUCUUUGUUUCACAAUUGGUUGUUAUUAUGAUUUAUAGGUUUCAUGCUAAGAUUGGCAAGAUACAAUUAUGUUUUGAUGCUUCCUGGGAUUUUUUUGGUUGCAAAGAAGCGAUUAUGUUCUUUGUGGGUGGGGUUAAGUAAUCGUAUUCCGUAUACCUAUAUUUGUUGUGUUGUACCAAAAAUUUAUAAGUGAUUUUCUGAGGGUAUUUCAUGGAAUGCAAAUUCCAAGAAAAUAUAUUGGUGCUUUUGUUUGUGAAUAGAAGAAACGAUAACAAGUUAUUGAAUUUGAUUACAUAGGUAAACAUGAAUUGAGUUAUGUAAUUUGAUUAAAAUAAUUAACGGUUCGUCUAUUCUCCUUUUAUUCUAUAUUUUCUUCACUUAUGUCUAUUUUGUGACUUUUGUUUAUUUUUUUGUUCUUAUGUAUAUUUUUUAUAGCAAAGUACUUGCACAAGAGUUGGUGAUAACUUAAAACUCAUUCAUAUUCAAAUAUUUUUGUCUUUCUCUUGAUUUUGAGAAGCAAAGACUUUGAUAAGGGUUGCUUCUACCAUCUUAAUAUCAUCAAAUCUUCACAUUUUUACUAUCAUGUUAUUUUUUGCCCAUUAUUUAACCAGCACGAGCGAUCCUUCUCCUCCAUGAGUCACUCAUAAUGUAGAAAUAUACUUUUUAUGAGUUUUGGAUUUUAUUGAAUUCUCUAUAUUUCUAUUUUCUUUCUUUCUUAUAGCUGUUUGGGUUUCUUCUUCUGUGUUUCUCCUCUGCUUCACUUUCAUUGCCCAUAGGGUAACAAUGAAAUCUUUUGUUUUUAUUUGUUCACUGUGUUUAUUACUUGAAGUAUUAAUCUACCAAUCAUUCAUAUUUUAGAUCCACAAAUGAAAUCUUAUAGAUCUAAUUUUACUUGAAGUGUUUUUAUUUUGUUUCUUGGUGCACAUCGUGUUCCCUUACCUAUUGUUUUCACAUUGUUUAUGGAAAUGUUUGAUUCUAAUUAAAAUACACCGUCUUUGUUUGAGGAUUGUUUUUGGAGAGAAGAGCAUAUAGUCCUAAUCUCGAAUACAAUUGCUUUAGUUUAUGCUAUUAUUACUAGUAGACUAAUUUUUUUUUCUUUUUAUGGCCAAAAUAUUUUGUUUCAAAAGUUUUUAUUGUUUUGUAAAUUCUUUUAAGUUAAUAUUUUUCUACAUGCGGUCAAGCAAUAAAAAUAGUGUUCAAUUUUGGAACUUAUCAAAUUGGAAUGAAAACUUUUGUUAGAAUUGUGCAAGGAGUUCACAAGUUAAUAUAUACUCCUCAUCUCUUUUUCUUCCUUUCUAUAUUUCAAAUUUGUUUAUAACUUGAAGGAGAUGGUAAAGGAGGAGGUUGAGUUGAACUUAUUUGUUCACGGCCUAAUAGGCCGUGACAAUAAUCUACUAAUGCUUUAGAAUUUAUUAACUACAUAUGAUCACCUAACUUUUAUUUUUUUUACUUUUGGGACAAUGUUGCUGAAACUAUGAAGAGAAAAGUAAUGCCACAAUCUUAGAGAAGGAUAGACACAAGAAUGAAUGCACCGAAUAAUCAAUUCAACCAAACUAUGUGGGAAACCCAUAGUUAAAAGGGCCACUCUAAUUUGAUUGUCAUCAUCCCCUUCUUCUUGAGCUAUUAGAAUGUUAUCUAUUGUAAUUCACCAUGAACAAAGGCACUUUGUUCCUUUAUUGUUAGAUACUUCAUACUUGAGAGAUAACAUCAUAAAACAUAUUUUAUACUUCAAAUAGAGAUAAUGUGAUAAACUCUACUUCAUACUCUGAU
RNAcentral lists this long non-coding RNA (2069 nucleotides) under Cicer arietinum (chickpea). Its description in RNAcentral is "long non-coding RNA (CARI_LNC000918)". The record is from RNAcentral. Lineage: Eukaryota; Viridiplantae; Streptophyta; Magnoliopsida; Fabales; Fabaceae.